AUGUUAAUGUUUUAUAGGCUUCUGCUCUGCCAUUCCUCCCUAACUUCACCUUGUCAUGCUAAUGCCCAAGGCAAGAGAAGUAGAGAUACCCUGCUGGAAAGAGCCCUCAGAAAUAUGAGGUGUUGCUUUUCACACGUGUCAUCCAGAUCUGCAGGGGAAAUGUUUCCAUAUUCAUCUUCAGAGACUGCUUCUUGGAAGGAAAGCAUACCCUCUGAUUUUAAGAAACAUGAUCAAUAUACUUCUCUUCAUGGUGUAGAAGAUAUCACAGCAAAUUAUGUGUCAUCGGGGGCUGAUUUCUAAGUUUACUGAGACCUCCUGGAAACUCCUAUAGUGAAUGGUGGUAAACGUCCAAGGAAAUCACAGAUAAGUGUGGCAGGGGAUAGCUCUUCUGUCAACCUCUCUGUCACGGCCCCAACACUUGCUCAUGUGGAAAUGUUCCUGGGACAGGGGUACGUCUUACAUGGCUACCUGUUUGUAAAACCACAUGCAAACACUACAGCUUCAUUAAUGAAAGAGGAAUAAUUGGGAGAUCACCUUGAGAUUUCAAAGUGAACAUCUGGUUUGGAACAUUUGUAAUUUUUUUUCUUUUUUUUUGGCUUCCAAGGAGAUCCUCACAUGGAAUAUCAAGUUGGGGUUAUAAUUGAGACCUUCCCUGCUGACAUUGUAACUGCCUUUCAUUGCUCGAGCACAAAUAAUUACUUAGAAAACAGCGGGUGGUCUGCUUAAAAAAUUCAAAUCAAUGAUCUAAGGUAUUUUUACACAUCCUUUGCUAUAGACUUUUCUUUCCAUCCUGGAUCAAGUGGCCACUCUUCAAAGAAUCCAUUAGCAUGGUGAACACUCCGAAAGCUGUUUUCUAUAGAUGCAUUCACCUUCAUUUCUCCUUUCUUUCUCUACUUGCUGAAGAUUGAUCUUGUGUCUUCCCUAAAGCCACCUACAUCUGAAGUAUAUGGAGCUCUAUGCUUUUAUUUAUACAGUUAUUUCAUCCAAAGAUCCAAUCAUGAACUUAGUGACUCGUUGUGUUUACCUGUUUUCAUCACAGGGAGACAGAGAAGAAAAGCUCAAAUGUUUGCUGAGAGACAAGCAGAAACUUAGAACUUAGUACAUCAAGUGGGAUUUAGAUGUAAUUCCAAAUUCCAGUUAUGUCUCAAAAUUGAUUUUUCUACUCAUUGUAGCUGAAUCUGUCUUUUUUAUUUUCUGUCCUGCCCUCUACAAAAGCCCACAAAUUUUUGUUAUAUGGAAAGCUACUAUUAUCAGAGUAAUAUCAUGGAUUAUACACAAGGGAAAACUUACCUUAAUGUAA
RNAcentral lists this long non-coding RNA (1300 nucleotides) under Sus scrofa (pig). RNAcentral describes it as "lncRNA (ENSSSCG00070004399.1)". Lineage: Eukaryota; Metazoa; Chordata; Mammalia; Artiodactyla; Suidae. The record is from RNAcentral.